GGGUGCGUUUGUUACUUCAAACCAAUCGGACUUCGGUCUGAACUCAUGUGAUACUGAACAAUUUAGCUGAUCGCACGGUCCAAGCACCGGCGACCUAUCCUUCAAAUGGCUGCCUUAUCAACUUUCGAUGGGARAUUAUGCGCCUACCAUGGUUGUAACGGGGAAACGAGAAUCMRGGUUUGAUUCCGGGAAGGGAGCCUGARAAACGGCUACCUCCCGGCACGGGGAGGUAGUGACGAAAAAUAACAAGCUGGUCUCAAUGAGUUCCGGCAUUGUAAUGGGAACAAUUUAAAUCAUUUAUCGAGGAUCUAUUGGAGGGCAAGUCUGGUGCCAGCAGCCGCGGUAAUUCCAGCUCCAAUAGCGUAUAUUAAAGUUGUUGCGGUUAAAAAGCUCGUAGUUGGAUCUAGGAUUAGGGAUACGGUCGUUCAGCUGGACGCACUGUAUGCCCGACUCCUUUUCUCUAGUAUUCGAUUGUUGCUCUUAAAUGAGUGACUUUAGUUGCUGGAACUUUUACCUUGAAAAAAUUGAAGUGCUCAAAGCAGGUUUUGCCUGAACAUUGCUGCAUGGGAUAAUAGA
Molecule: ribosomal RNA, 576 nt
Filed under: uncultured eukaryote
Lineage: Eukaryota
Description: SSU rRNA
Rfam family: Eukaryotic small subunit ribosomal RNA
Source: RNAcentral